RNAcentral lists this ribosomal RNA (602 nucleotides) under uncultured bacterium. RNAcentral's name for it is "partial 16S ribosomal RNA". It matches the Rfam family "Bacterial small subunit ribosomal RNA", at positions 506 to 1098 of the family's 1533-position model. The record is from RNAcentral.
UGCCAGCAGCCGCGGUAAUACGGGAGGGGCUAGCGUUAUUCGAAUAAUUAGGCGUAAAGGGUUCGUAGAUUGUAUUAUAAGUUAAAUAUUAAAUUUUAAAUAAAAUUUUAAUAAAAUAUUUAAAACUAUUAUACUUGAGUUUUUUACAAAAAAAUAGAAUUUUAUGAGUAAAGAUAAAAUUUAUAAAUACAUAAAGGAAUGCCAAUAGCGAAAGCAAUUUUUUAGUAAAAAACUGACGUUGAGGAACGAAAGUGUAGGUAGCAAACAGGAUUAGAUACCCUGGUAGUCUACACUGUAAACACUGAAUGCUAAAAUUUAAAUAUGUUUUUAGAUUUUAUAAGCUAACGCAAUAAGCAUUCCGCCUGAAGAGUACGUUCGCAAGAUUGGAACUCAAAGGAAUUGACGGGGGCCUAUCCUAGCGGUGGAGCAUGUGGUUUAAUGCGAUAAUACGCGCGAAAUCUUACCAAUUUUUGUUAUAUAAAAAAUUUAUUAAUAAUUUUUUACUAAAUUUUAACAAUUUUAUGUUGAUAAUUUUUAUACAGGUGUUGCACGACUGUCGUCAGCUCGUGUCGUGAGAUGUUUGGUUAACUCCUUUACGAGCG